Molecule: ribosomal RNA, 763 nt
Filed under: uncultured Streptococcus sp.
Lineage: Bacteria; Bacillati; Bacillota; Bacilli; Lactobacillales; Streptococcaceae
Description: bacterial SSU rRNA
Rfam family: Bacterial small subunit ribosomal RNA
Source: RNAcentral
GACGAACGCUGGCGGCGUGCCUAAUACAUGCAAGUAGAACGCUGAAGGAGGAGCUUGCUUCUCUGGAUGAGUUGCGAACGGGUGAGUAACGCGUAGGUAACCUGCCUGGUAGCGGGGGAUAACUAUUGGAAACGAUAGCUAAUACCGCAUAAAAUUGAUUAUUGCAUGAUAGUCAAUUAAAAGGUGCAAUUGCAUCACUACCAGAUGGACCUGCGUUGUAUUAGCUAGUUGGUGGGGUAAAGGCUCACCAAGGCAACGAUACAUAGCCGACCUGAGAGGGUGAUCGGCCACACUGGGACUGAGACACGGCCCAGACUCCUACGGGAGGCAGCAGUAGGGAAUCUUCGGCAAUGGACGGAAGUCUGACCGAGCAACGCCGCGUGAGUGAAGAAGGUUUUCGGAUCGUAAAGCUCUGUUGUAAGAGAAGAACGAGUGUGAGAGUGGAAAGUUCACACUGUGACGGUAUCUUACCAGAAAGGGACGGCUAACUACGUGCCAGCAGCCGCGGUAAUACGUAGGUCCCGAGCGUUGUCCGGAUUUAUUGGGCGUAAAGCGAGCGCAGGCGGUUAGAUAAGUCUGAAGUUAAAGGCUGUGGCUUAACCAUAGUACGCUUUGGAAACUGUUUAACUUGAGUGCAAGAGGGGAGAGUGGAAUUCCAUGUGUAGCGGUGAAAUGCGUAGAUAUAUGGAGGAACACCGGUGGCGAAAGCGGCUCUCUGGCUUGUAACUGACGCUGAGGCUCGAAAGCGUGGGGAGCAAACAGG